This is a long non-coding RNA of Myodes glareolus (Bank vole), 1101 nucleotides long. RefSeq lists it as uncharacterized. NCBI's taxonomy places the organism in Eukaryota, Metazoa, Chordata, Mammalia, Rodentia, Cricetidae. The record is from RefSeq and is a predicted model, not a curated record.
CUCAGAGCGUGGCAGCCAGCGUGCGGGGAAUGUGCUGAAGAGACAUUAGGGCAGUCCUGGGGACACAACCGGCAAAAUGUCAAAGGAAGAAAAAGGAGCAGUCUCGUCGCCCAAAAACAGGUCUUCAAAAGAACGGCAGAGAAAGAAGCCUUCAGGUAAAGACAGACAUUUCUCACGUGCGCUUACGAAGCCUCACAGUUCCCAGGCAUCAACUCAGUGUCCUUCCUGAGGCCAGCAGUCCCAGGUUCUCCAGAGGCAGACAGAUUGAAUCAUGUGCCCCUGUGCCUGCAGUGAAAUGGGGCAUGGUCCCCUGUAACAGGGCUGUGUGGCCAAUAGUGUCCUGUUUGAGGGUCUCCUGGAGUCCAAGUUAACUUCAAACCAGCUUUGUAUCCAAGAAUGACUUUGAACUCCUGACCCUCCCAGCUACACCUUCCUUCCCCAUGCUGGAGUUGCAAGUGUGCACUACCACACCCAGGCCUUUCGUUUUGUGUUUUGAGACAGGAUCUCACCUUGUAAUCCAGACUAGACUUAAACUCACCAGAGUUCUCCCACCUCGGCUUCCCCAGUUUGUUGCCACACCCUAACAAGUUGUGUGGGGGAAAAGCUGUGUGCUUUUAAUUUUAUUAUUAUUCCGUGUGUGUGUGUGUGUGUGUGGCCUCGAGUGCAUGUGCAUGUUCACGCACACAUGUGAGUGUGAGCACACAAAUGUCACAAAACUCGUGUAGGAUUUAGAAGACAGCUUUUCUGUCUUAGAUGCUGAGGUUCGAAGUCAGGUUCCAUGUGGGUCACUGGUACCAAGCGCUGCUUUGGAAGGCUUCAGCAGGGAGGAUCUCCCUGCCCCUUUUAUCGACCUGCCAAGGAUGGGUUAGAGAGGGCUGGGUGCUCUAGGCAGGGUACACUCAUAUGCUCAGCAGCGUGAGCAAUCUGCCUGUGUUCUUAGAGGACUGGCCCAAUUCCCCUAAAAUAUUUUGAAUUCAGCUCCUUUUGUCUUGAAACACCCCCCCACACACACACACAGCAUGCCAUGCACCUGGGAGUGAAAAGUGCAGCCUGGGGAAGGAGAGAGAGAGAGCCCCAGUGUGAGAGCACUCUUAGAUACUU